This 414-nucleotide RNase P RNA is filed under the name Tissierella sp. RNAcentral describes it as "RNase P RNA component class A". It matches the Rfam family "Bacterial RNase P class A". From Rfam's summary of the family: Ribonuclease P (RNase P) is a ubiquitous endoribonuclease, found in archaea, bacteria and eukarya as well as chloroplasts and mitochondria. Its best characterised activity is the generation of mature 5'-ends of tRNAs by cleaving the 5'-leader elements of precursor-tRNAs. Cellular RNase Ps are ribonucleoproteins. The record is from RNAcentral. RNAcentral also lists the same sequence under 2 other names. Lineage: Bacteria; Bacillati; Bacillota; Tissierellia; Tissierellales; Tissierellaceae.
CGAGUAAGUUGAAUGGUCGCGUGCUUAGUGCAUGAGGAAAGUCCGUGCUCCGUAGGGCAGGAUGCUGGAUAACGUCCAGUGGGGGUGACCCUAAGGAUAGUGCAACAGAGAUAUACCGCCAGAACUCUUUCUCAGUUCAUAAUAAGAAUUACUACUGGGUUUGUAGUGAAAUAGCUGAUGAAAUAACUGAAAGAUGUGGCUAUCUGGUAAGGGUGGAAAGGCGAGGUAAGAGCUCACCAGCAUUUAGGUGACUAAAUGGCUCUGUAAACCCCAUCUGGAGCAAGACCAAAAAGGAACAUAAAAGGUGGUAGCCCGCUACCGUUCCAAUGGUAGGUCGCAUGAACCUAUUGGUGACGAUAGGUCUUAGAUAGAUGACCAUUUAAACAGAACACGGCUUACAGACUUACUCGUGUA